Poecile atricapillus (Black-capped chickadee) is the source of this 1983-nucleotide long non-coding RNA. RefSeq lists it as uncharacterized. Lineage: Eukaryota; Metazoa; Chordata; Aves; Passeriformes; Paridae. The record is from RefSeq and is a predicted model, not a curated record. The transcript is spliced from 2 exons.
UGCCCGCCCCUCCCCCGGAGCCUGCCAGCAAGGACCCGAAACGUGCGCGGUGUGCCGCGGGUGUUUAUUCACCCUGGCAAAGGGUGGCCGGGGAGCCACGGGAGCUUAUCCAGCCGGCGAGGCAAUAAAGAUUUCCUUGAUGAAAUACACACCUGAAUAGCAACAAUUAUCAAAUAAUCUCAGUAGACAAGACUAAUCAGGCCUGCCCACUGAAAGCCAGAGACUGCCUGCAACAGAAGAAGAUAAACACACUCUUACCUACAAAACUGUUGGUAAAUCAAGAAGGCAGAAGUAAAACCAGUGAGUUUUACUCACUUACUUUAGUCAGCUAAAAAGCAGACUGAAUCAGGACAAUGAGACAUCUUGAAAUGUUAGUUCUGAUACUUGUGGAUGAAAUUAAUCUAUCAGCAUUCCUACUACAAAAUAGACUUGUGUAAAGGCUAUUGUAUUACACCCAGUUUCCAACAAAGCUGUGAGCUUUGAACUAACCAUAUAUUGAUACUACUAAUUGAUAGUACAGUAUCAAUUUUACACUCAGAUAUGAGGAAUCAGCCUUCAGCACAUUCAUCUGUAUCUGGAAUAUUUUCUUUUUGUCAUAAAUUAUAUGAAACUUCUCAUAUUUUGGUUUGUACCUAUUGCCUCUUGUCCCUCACUGGACAUCACAAUGAGUCUGUCUUCAUCUUUACUCCUCCUACCAGACAUCAAUUCAAUCCUCCACCUUGAGCCUCUUCUUCUCAAGGUUAAAUAGUCACAGUUUUCUCAUCCUGUCCUCUUUCUCCUUUCAUCUGUGAAUGCACAAAUGCCUCUUCCCUGGCUUGCUUCUCAUCAAAAGUACUUCAUUCCCUCAAACCUCAAAACCCCAUUACUCAGAGAUUGUGCUCUUAGUGUAUUUUUCUUCCAUCCUGCUGUUGUGGGUUGACCACAUCCAGCAGGUAAGCACCCACACAGCUGUUAGCUCACUUCCCCCUGCCUCCUUCCCUAGUGGGGCAGGGGAGAGAAAAGGAGAAAAAGAAAGAAAACCAGUAGGUAAACAUAAAGAUGGUUUAUUAAGUAAAGAAAAAGUGAGAAUUAUAAAAUGUAAUAAGUAAGGAUUAAAAAAAAUAUGGUGAGGGAACCACUCACCAAAGCCCACAAGUAGACCAUCAGUCUCUGAUAAACAGCUUUGACUACACUCCUUUCCUCUACCCAGUUUUAUUGGUGGGCAUGAUGUUAUGGAUUAUAUGGGGUCAGCUGUCCCAGCUCUGCCCUCUCCCAAAUUCAUGCCUACUUGCUGGUAUGGGAAUGCAGGCAGAAAGGGAAAGAGAGAUAUCCCCGAUCCUGUGCAAGCAUUGCUGAGCAAUAGCCCAAACAUUGGCAUGUUUUCAACACUCUUUUAGUCACAAACACAAAACACAGCACAAUUUCACUGCUAUGUAGAUAAUCAACUUAAUUCUGGGCCAGAUCCAGUACACCUGUGAAAACAUCCUUGGAACAAAAGACUCCCUGCUCUGGAAUUUCACACUCAUGAUUAUGAUGACCUCUCUCAGCUAUACUGCUUCAGACUUGCUCCUUAUCUGCAUCCCCAACUCAUUUCUUACCAUCUUCUAAAAGAAAAGAAAGCAGCACAAUACAACAUGAAACAAAUGGGAGAGAAAAAAAAAUGCACAAAAGCUGGCAACAGUAAGUGCAUAACUGAAGAACUAAAUAGUUCAAGAACUUAGAAGAAAAAAAAGGCAAAUAGAUAUACCCUGUGGAAAUGAAGAAGGUGAAGAUAAUCAGAGAAUGAUCUUUCAAACACUAAUACUGCUUUGCAAUUAGGUGUGAAAAAACAGAAUUGUGUAAAAGAAUGUGGAAGAGCAGAAAUGUUUCUACUGCAUAUUUGGAAAACAUAAACAGUAACAGUGUUUUCACAUCACGUAAAAUGAAAUACUUUCCAUUAAAUCAAUAAUAUGAGCUGACAGUAAACUGUGUGAACUAAAAUUAAACACUUAUUUUUAAAUGGCA